This 253-nucleotide ribosomal RNA is filed under the name uncultured bacterium. RNAcentral describes it as "partial 16S ribosomal RNA". It matches the Rfam family "Bacterial small subunit ribosomal RNA", at positions 524 to 776 of the family's 1533-position model. The record is from RNAcentral.
UACGGGGGGGGCAAGCGUUGUUCGGAAUUACUGGGCGUAAAGGGCUCGUAGGCGGCCAACUAAGUCAGACGUGAAAUCCCUAGGCUCAACCUAGGAACUGCGUCUGAUACUGGAUGGCUUGAAUCCGGGAGAGGGAUGCAGAAUUCCAGGUGUAGCGGUGAAAUGCGUAGAUAUCUGGAGGAAUACCGGUGGCGAAGGCGGCAUCCUGGACCGACAUUGACGCUGAGGAGCGAAAGCCAGGGGAGCAAACGGG